AUUGAACGCUGGCGGCAGGCCUAACACAUGCAAGUCGAACGAGUGGCGUACGGGUGAGAAAUGUCUGGGAAACUGCCCGAUGGGGGGGGGUAAAUACUGGAAACGGUGGCUAAUACCGCACACUAUAGGAUAUGCCCACAUGGGAUGAGCGUGUAGGGGAGGUAACGGCUCCCCUAGGCGACGAUCCCUAGCUGGUCUGAGAGGAGGACCAGCCACAAUGGAACUGAGACACUGUCCAGACUACGACGGGAGGCAGCAGUGGGGAAUAUUGCACAAUGGGCGCAGGCCUGAUGCAGCCAUGCCGCGUGUAUGAAGAGGGCCUUCGGGUUGUAAAGUACUUUCAGCAGCGAGGCGUUACCCGCAGAAGAAGCACCGGCUAACUCCGUGCCAGCCGCCGCGGUAAUUC
RNAcentral lists this ribosomal RNA (406 nucleotides) under uncultured bacterium. Its description in RNAcentral is "partial 16S ribosomal RNA". It matches the Rfam family "Bacterial small subunit ribosomal RNA", at positions 30 to 526 of the family's 1533-position model. The record is from RNAcentral.